UACAGAGGGUGCAAACGUUGUCCGGAAUUACUGGGCGUAAAGCGCUUGUAGGCUGCUCAGUCAGUCGGAUGUGAAAGCCCUGGGCUCAACCUAGGAAGUGCAUUCGAAACUUCUGAGCUGGAGUUCUGGAGGGGAAGGCGGAAUUCUCGGUGUAGAGGUGAAAUUCGUAGAUAUCGAGAGGAACACCGGUGGCGAAGGCGGCCUUCUGGACAGUGACUGACGCUGAGACGCGAAAGCGUGGGGAGCAAACCGG
RNAcentral lists this ribosomal RNA (253 nucleotides) under uncultured bacterium. RNAcentral's name for it is "partial 16S ribosomal RNA". It matches the Rfam family "Bacterial small subunit ribosomal RNA", at positions 524 to 776 of the family's 1533-position model. The record is from RNAcentral.